Molecule: long non-coding RNA, 1274 nt
Filed under: Eucalyptus grandis
Lineage: Eukaryota; Viridiplantae; Streptophyta; Magnoliopsida; Myrtales; Myrtaceae
Description: long non-coding RNA (EGRA_LNC001647)
Source: RNAcentral
CAUUGCAAUCAGCACGAAAUUCCGGUCACCGGCUAUCCCGGUCUAAUUUCCGGAAAAAUAAUUAAUAAUUAAAUAAUUACUGAAAUAAAUCAAUUUAAAUUCUAAAAAUACUAACUUAGGCCAGAAUCAUUAAAUUAAUAACCAAUACGGACUCGGAGAAAUUCCCGAACCCUACUAGAUAAAUAGUACAAUUUAUUUAGGCCUUAGCUAAACCAUGCUAACCACCUAACAUGCUCAAUUAAAUAAUUCAAUUUCUAAUUUAAUCUAACUAACCACCUAAUUCCUAAUAAAAUAAAUCUAACACCCCUUAAACGUUAUUAACCUACUAAGCAGAGUUUAGAGUAUAAACUCACCGGUGUAUCGCGAAAACCGGUUCACCGCGACGACGACGCGACGGCGGCUGAAAUCUUAAUUUUCGGCGGCGUCGGCAAACUUGGGCCGGGCCUAAAACGGGCCCAACACAACUCAGCAAGGCUGAGUUUCGGUCUUGGGCUUCUGCAGGGCUGCUGGUCGCGGGCUUGGGCCUUCUUCUUGGGCCCAAAAUGGCUGGACUGAAAUUGGGCUAGAACUAACUGAACUUGGGCCUAAGCUUGGGCUUCAAAGUCUGUGGUAGAUGGGCUGAAAAUCACUGGGCUGAAGACUUCAUCUGGGCCGAGGAAUUGCUGGCUGAUGAUGCGGACUGGAUACGGGCCCAACUGCUGACCAAAAUUCGCUGGCUUCGUGGACAAUGGUGCUGCCUUGCCUGGACUUCACUGGAAUCUUCAAGUAGCCGCGUUGAAGGAACUCUGGAUGAUCGGUUGGCAAGCUGCAGCGAAGAGGAGAUGGAACGAAGACUUGGCUUCGUGAGGACAAGAUGAAGACGCUGUGAAGAUGGGCCUCCGAUGGGAGACUUUGACCUCGUGCCGUCCAAGUGAGGACACGAAGAAGUGGGGGCAGGCGCGCAGCUUACGGAGUCAACCAGGUGGCCUCGCUUGAAAAUAAACAGAGAAGCAGCUUCGGCCACUUGCUGGAACGUGGAGCUUGACCGAAGAAAAUGAAGAAGACGGACGUAUGGUGCGAGCGUGGGCUACAAGCGGUCAACUGCUGAGCUUCGUGGGCUUGAAAGUUGACCAAGAGCUGCUGGUUGAGGGACAAGUGGCGAGGAUGAGGGGAAUUCGGUGGAUGGGCAGGCGUUUUCGGUGGGGGGUGUCGUUGCAGAGGAGAAGAACGAAAUGCAGAAGCUGAAAAAUGAAAAUGAAAGUGAAGUAGCACAUGGACGAGAAGAGAUCGACGUU